CGGAUAAGCUAGUUGCCCCGCUGUGCAAUUCGAACGAUUAGAAGUUGGGCUUGAAAUCAUGACGAUGCUUGUCAGGAUUCUAUCUUCGUUACUUUUGGGUGCCAUAAUGACGAUAGGGCCCUGUAGAGUUGAAAGUGCAGCUAAAAUUCGUAGAGAUGUUCAGUUAGUGGUAGUGGAUGUUGUGGAUGUUGUGGUUACCGAGAGCGAAGAGGAACAAUUUCCAAUGUUCGGGUUCGACCAAUACGCGAGCGGGCGCGGGGGAGACACAACGUGACGGUUGCAGAGUUGCUCCAGGGAAAACUUAACACUCGUUGGAUCGAGAAAUGGACGAUCCUUUGGCUGCCAAAAGGAAUUGUGGCUGCCAAUAUUUGGCUGCCAAAAUGAAU
Long non-coding RNA from Bolinopsis microptera, 386 nucleotides. RefSeq lists it as uncharacterized. Lineage: Eukaryota; Metazoa; Ctenophora; Tentaculata; Lobata; Bolinopsidae. The record is from RefSeq and is a predicted model, not a curated record. The transcript is spliced from 3 exons.